Cucurbita maxima (winter squash) is the source of this 284-nucleotide long non-coding RNA. RefSeq lists it as uncharacterized. The transcript is spliced from 2 exons. Lineage: Eukaryota; Viridiplantae; Streptophyta; Magnoliopsida; Cucurbitales; Cucurbitaceae. The record is from RefSeq and is a predicted model, not a curated record.
CCGGGAAUGUCCAACUUGGGUGUCAGCUGCAGAGGAGCUCCGUUCAGGAGCAUCACGUCGCUUUGAAUAUCGCCGUCUUUGGGACUCAAAUGUGAGAAUAGACACGAAGAUAUGGAGAGCUGUCGUGGGACGCCGACAGGACCUUCGUUCCCAUUAGUCUGUGCCAUAGAAGUGCGCUGUUUCCAGCCAACCAAAAUGUUAAUAUGCCAUCCAGUGGUAUAAUAUUACUAAUUAUGGUUAAAUGGUUCGUAUCAAUGGAAAUGUGAUCAACCCCUUAAAACUAA